AAAUUACGGAUGUAGAAUAGGAGGGAGCUUUCGGGCGCUCGUGAAAUACCUCCGCCGAAAUAUUGAUUCACUAACUUGACUUU
RNAcentral lists this ribosomal RNA (83 nucleotides) under Vannella robusta. RNAcentral describes it as "Vannella sp. CB-2014 partial Eukaryotic large subunit ribosomal RNA". The record is from RNAcentral. Lineage: Eukaryota; Discosea; Flabellinia; Vannellidae.